GAUGAAGAACGUAGCGAAAUGCGAUAAGUAAUGUGAAUUGCAGAAUUCAGUGAAUCAUCGAAUCUUUGAACGCACCUUGCACCCUCUGGUAUUCCGAAGGGUAUGCUCGUUUGAGUGUCAUUGUACUCUCACACUUCUAAUUCCUUUCGGGAUUGGGAGCGGUGGACUUGGGUGUUGCUGCUUUAGUUGUGGCUCACCUCAAGUAAGUUAGUGCAACUCUUGGUUGGACAUAGUACGGCGUGAUAAGUGUCUUCGCCGGCGCCUCUGUAAGGAGGGUGGCCGAUCGGGAGCUCUGUGCUUCAAACCGUCUUCGGACAAUCUUUGACAACUUGACCUCAAAUCGAGUAGGACUACCCGCUGAACUUAAGCAUAUCAAUAAGCGGAGGA
RNAcentral lists this unclassified non-coding RNA (387 nucleotides) under soil metagenome. RNAcentral's name for it is "partial contains 5.8S ribosomal RNA, internal transcribed spacer 2, and large subunit ribosomal RNA". The stretch from base 1 to 120 matches the Rfam family "5.8S ribosomal RNA", at positions 35 to 154 of the family's 154-position model. The record is from RNAcentral.